This is a long non-coding RNA of Pogoniulus pusillus (Red-fronted tinkerbird), 562 nucleotides long. RefSeq lists it as uncharacterized. The transcript has 2 exons. NCBI's taxonomy places the organism in Eukaryota, Metazoa, Chordata, Aves, Piciformes, Lybiidae. The record is from RefSeq and is a predicted model, not a curated record.
GCUGCGCGGGAGGGGCGGGAGAGGGACGGGAGAGCCGCGGGGACGGUCCCGCGCGGGCAGCGCUGUGCGUCCCUAGCGCCGUGGGGCCCCAUGAGGCGGCCGCACAAUCCCCGCACCGAGAGGAGGUCAUCCAGACCAGCUGCCCUGGUGAGCAGCGGCACCCACCGCAGCUUGCCCAGCAUCACAACGGCCAGACGGGUUUGGAAGCUCUCCAGACAGGGAGACUCAACAAGCUCUUUGGGCAGACUGCUCCAGGGCUCCAGCGCCCUCACAAGAAGCAGGUUUCUCUUCCUGGUCAGAAGGAACCUCCUCGGUUCCAGUUUGUGCCUAUUGCUCCUUGUCCUGUCACUGGGCACCACUGAGAAGAGUCUGGACUCAUCCUCUUGCCCCCCACAGACAGAAAACCAGCAAAGAUUCUCAGGUGUUACUUGGUCAGUCCAAGUCAGCAGUGUGGAGUCAGGCAAGGGAACAGUGACGGAGCCAGCACCCGAGAGCCAGACUGUUUAUACAUUGCUGUUUGUCCCUCUUAGCAAACCAAUAAAUGAGAUGGACCUUAUCAUUA